CGAGCCUGCUCGGGAGAGUCCCCAACCCACCGUGAACUGCGGGAAAAGGGGCGCCGAAGGAGCAAACCCUCCCCGGAAUCUCUCAGGCAUCCGUACCGUGUGGGCUAG
This 108-nucleotide non-coding RNA is filed under the name Saccharothrix sp. ST-888. RNAcentral's name for it is "Glycine riboswitch aptamer". It matches the Rfam family "Glycine riboswitch aptamer". From Rfam's summary of the family: This family represents the bacterial glycine riboswitch. Glycine riboswitches usually consist of two metabolite-binding aptamers domains with similar structures in tandem. The aptamers cooperatively bind glycine to regulate the expression of downstream genes. Lineage: Bacteria; Bacillati; Actinomycetota; Actinomycetes; Pseudonocardiales; Pseudonocardiaceae. RNAcentral also lists the same sequence under 1 other name. The record is from Rfam by way of RNAcentral.